This 311-nucleotide long non-coding RNA is filed under the name Elaeis guineensis (African oil palm). RNAcentral describes it as "long non-coding RNA (EGUI_LNC037721)". The record is from RNAcentral. Lineage: Eukaryota; Viridiplantae; Streptophyta; Magnoliopsida; Arecales; Arecaceae.
AAGUUAUAUUCAUAAUGAACAUCAUCUGACCUCGAUUGGAUCGAUCAUAAAGUUGAUGUAGCUUAGGAUAUUUUUAAAGCAUAACAAGUAAACAUCAAAAUGUUAAAAUAAUUUGACCUUGAGAAUUAGAUUGAUUAGUCAAAAGCAAACCAAUAUUAAUGAAUCAAACACUUAUAAUAGAAGUCUAAGAGGUACCUCUGCUUGAUGUCAAAAUAGAUAGAUCAAGUCUCCCAUAUAUCAAAUGGGGUCCCAACUUAUGAUGUUCCAUCUUCUUUCCUUUCAAGGGUAUAUCAUCCAAAAAUUCAAACCAG